AUAUUAUAGUAUAUCUGCUCAUGAACAUUUAAAUAGCCGCAACUCGUGCUAAGGUAGCAUAAUCAUUUGUCUUUUAAUUUAAGACUAGAACAAAAGAUUUAACAUUUUAAUAAAUUUAUUUAAUUUUAAAAUUGAAAUUUUACAAAUAGUAAAAAUACUAUUAUAUGCAAGAAAGACGACAAGACCCUAUUAAACUUAACUUUAGUUUUACUGGGGCAGUAAAUUAAUUAUUAUUUUAAUAAAAAUACUUUUUAAAAUAUCCUUUAUAAUAGAAUUAACCAGUUACUAUAGGGAUAACAGCGCAAUUAUCUUUAUAAGCUCUUAUAUAAAAAAUAGAUUACGACCUCGAUGUUGAAUUAAUUACCUAAAUAAAGCAAACCUUAAACAAGGAAGUCUGUUCGACUUUUAAAAAAUUACAUGAUCUGAGUCCAAACCGGAG
This 439-nucleotide ribosomal RNA is filed under the name Pseudeuophrys iwatensis. RNAcentral describes it as "partial 16S ribosomal RNA". Lineage: Eukaryota; Metazoa; Arthropoda; Arachnida; Araneae; Salticidae. The record is from RNAcentral.